UCCUCUGUUGAUUUUUCCACCAAAUCUCUUGGACGUUUCGCUUUGGACUUGUCCUGUCUUGACUUCUCAUCCAAAUCUUUUUGAUAUUUGCUUUUAUCCUGACUCUCUUUCAUCAACUUCUUAUCAAAUUUGUUCUUGCUUUUAUCCUGACUCUCUUUCAUCGACUUCUCAUCAAAUUUGUUCUUGCUUUUCUCCUGAUUCCCUUUCAUCGACUUCUCAACAGAUCUGUUCUUCGCAUGGCCCAGGUUAUCACCACGACUUCUCAUCAAAUUUGUUCUUGCUUUUAUCCUGACUCUCUUUCAUCGACUUCUCAUCAAAUUUGUUCUUGCUUUUCUCCUGAUUCCCUUUCAUCGACUUCUCAACAGAUCUGUUCUUCGCAUGGCCCAGGUUAUCACCACCUUCUUUGCCAAUGUUAUUCUGCAAUCUCUCCCUGUAUUCUUGGUGCUGAUGUCGCUUCUUAUCCUCAAAAUCAAUAUCAUCACUGAUCCUCGUCGACCCAACAUCAUCACCGUGUUCCACUGAACGAG
This 527-nucleotide long non-coding RNA is filed under the name Nicotiana benthamiana. Its description in RNAcentral is "long non-coding RNA (NBEN_LNC018996)". Lineage: Eukaryota; Viridiplantae; Streptophyta; Magnoliopsida; Solanales; Solanaceae. The record is from RNAcentral.